RNAcentral lists this unclassified non-coding RNA (222 nucleotides) under Funneliformis mosseae. RNAcentral's name for it is "partial contains 5.8S ribosomal RNA and internal transcribed spacer 2". The stretch from base 1 to 71 matches the Rfam family "5.8S ribosomal RNA", at positions 84 to 154 of the family's 154-position model. The record is from RNAcentral. Lineage: Eukaryota; Fungi; Glomeromycota; Glomeromycetes; Glomerales; Glomeraceae.
GUGAAUCAUCGAAUCUUUGAACGCAGAUUGCACUCCCUGGUAUUCCGGGGAGUAUGCCUGUUUGAGGGUCGUUAGAAGAAAAAUCGAAGCAUCGCUCUUUUUUUUGAGGGUGGUCGCGGCGGAAUUUAACCGUCUUUCGGAUGUUAAUUCAUGUCAAAGUGGCUUAAAAUUUAUUCCUCCCGUACGAUUAAAGCGUAUUUAAAAUCAAUUUUGAUUAAGAAC